RNAcentral lists this long non-coding RNA (420 nucleotides) under Gossypium raimondii (Peruvian cotton). RNAcentral describes it as "long non-coding RNA (GRAI_LNC009535)". The record is from RNAcentral. Lineage: Eukaryota; Viridiplantae; Streptophyta; Magnoliopsida; Malvales; Malvaceae.
UGGCUUUUAUAGCCAAUAUUACAACUUUUAGUUUCUGUCUUUUUUGUUUUUUUCUUGGUUGUUCUGUUCUUUGUUGUCUUUUCUUGCUCUUUUUUUUUUCUUUUUUGCUGUUGCGUGUUGCAGGUGGUGGUAGCAGUGCACGUGGAGAGGGUUUCAUCAUAUUUUUUUUUGAAAGUUAAGGUUGUGGGCUAAAUGGGCUUGAGGAUUUUUUUUAUUAUUGGGCUGUUUGGGCUCAUUUUGUAAUUGGAUUUUUGUUUUUUUGGUUUUAUAUUUUGUAUGUUCUGGGUUUGUUGGCCUGGACAAAUUUGGGCUUUUACACUUACCAUGGCUAACACCUACCAAUAUUUGUCUCAUUUGCAUUUUUGUACUAAGCUUUGCUAUAAUUAUAUUCUAUCACAAAGUUUUGAUAUUAGUUUUCAG